CCUACGGGUGGCAGCAGUCGAGAAUCAUUCACAAUGGGGGAAACCCUGAUGGUGCGACGCCGCGUGGGGGAAUGAAGGUCUUCGGAUUGUAAACCCCUGUCAUGUGGGAGCAAAUUAAAAAGAUAGGACCACAAGAGGAAGAGACGGCUAACUCUGUGCCAGCAGCCGCGGUAAUACAGAGGUCUCAAGCGUUGUUCGGAACAACUGGGCGUAAAGGGUGCGGAGGGUGUUGCGUAAGUCGUGUGUGAAAGGCGCGGGCUCAACCCGCGGACGGCACAUGAUACUGCGAGACUAGAGUAAUGGAGGGGGAACCGGAAUUCUCGGUGUAGCAGUGAAAUGCGUAGAUAUCGAGAGGAACACUCGUGGCGAAGGCGGGUUCCUGGACAUUAACUGACGCUGAGGCACGAAGGCCAGGGGAGCGAAAGGGAUUAGAUACCCCAGUAGUC
RNAcentral lists this ribosomal RNA (446 nucleotides) under uncultured bacterium. RNAcentral describes it as "partial 16S ribosomal RNA". It matches the Rfam family "Bacterial small subunit ribosomal RNA", at positions 338 to 795 of the family's 1533-position model. The record is from RNAcentral.